CUGCAUAUGAAUUGUGCAUGGAGAGAAAUAUGGGACAUGCGAUAUGACUGUUAACAUUUCAAAGAAGAUUAUUCAUCACUAUGGGAGGCAUCACUCAUAUUUGGCUUCUCCAGAUCCUUGAGAGUGAAGGUCUGCAGCUCAGAAUUCAACUAGUUGUUUUCAGCUUUUGACAGACUGCCUUUAUGAAGCAGAAUCGAAGGCCUUUAAGUGCUUGUAGUGGAUCCCUCUGAGAAAUGUAUAAUUGGUGUGGCACUGGCCCGCUGUCUUUCUUCUGCCUGUAGGGUAUUUCAAAACGUAACUCUUAGAAGGGAAGAGGUUAUGAGGCCUGAAGAACUCUCAUGUAGCCUGAAGCACCAAAUACUGCUCUCUGAUCUUCAGGGCUUUGGGAAGCAGCUGCUUCAUGUCUUUUCCUCAUCCUAAACCUCAAAAAUCCAAAAAUGCUGAGUUUAAGGUAUUCCUAACAUGCAUCAUGACACAUCAUGACAUGUUCCACAUAGGAGAUGGACUGCCUUACAGUCACAUUGGAACAAACUGUGCUGUCAUCAGUAGCCAUGAAGUACAUCAUAAAAUGCCACCAGCUGAGCCUAGCAGUAGUAGAUGCAACUCCAGAACUUCAGCAGAGUUUUCCUUGUUCAGACUGGAACUGGAAUUUGGCCCCUCAAAAAACACCUCAUAA
Molecule: long non-coding RNA, 676 nt
Filed under: Numida meleagris (helmeted guineafowl)
Lineage: Eukaryota; Metazoa; Chordata; Aves; Galliformes; Numididae
Description: lncRNA (ENSNMEG00000007576.1)
Source: RNAcentral